RNAcentral lists this long non-coding RNA (754 nucleotides) under Homo sapiens (human). RNAcentral describes it as "HSALNT0141102". The record is from RNAcentral. Lineage: Eukaryota; Metazoa; Chordata; Mammalia; Primates; Hominidae.
UUGAAGGAUGAGUUGGAAUUUUCCAGCUGGAGAAAAUGAGGGAGGAAAGGAUAAAUUUCCAGGAAGGGAUCAGUAUAGGCAGGCUUGGAAGGAGAUGAUGGAUUGGGGAAAUGGCAAGUUGUUGGGUAUUAGGGUAUUGAGGAGGGAGAUGAAAUUGGAGUACUCCGCUGUGGUCAGAAAUCAAAAGGCCACAUUCACCAAAUGUAAGUUUGGAACUUCCUCCCCAGGCAGUGGAGGGCUGUUGGGAGCAGGGGUGAGGAGGAUCAGAGCUGUAUUUUGGAAAAAUCCCUCUGCCUCUGUGGGGACGGAUGGGAAAGGCUCUACUUGCAGUGAGAGCAUGGUUGGUGACCUAACCAUGGAGUGGGCCUGCCUGUUGAGCCAUUCUGCUGUGAAGAGAUGGGGGUAAGUUCACGGAGAGCUGGCAUUGAAGGAUGGCUGGGAAGUCUCUGUGCUAGGAUGGGGCAGGCAAUGGCAAUGUGUGUUCUAGAUACUGAUGUGACUCACCUGCAGUGAGGAGCAGAAUUCCUAAGGUCCCCAGGAGGGCAGGAAAGGUGGGGAUUCACAUUCAGCCACAAUGGUCAAGAAAGAGAAAAGGAGUGGGGCUUCAGAACACCUGGGGGUUGAUGAUGUCUUACACUUGGUGUUUCUCAAGUCCCAGGGCUCAGGUCUGGAGAAAAGGUGAUUAUGUAGGUCAGCGUCUCCAACUAUAGAAAACAAGGCACUUGCUAGCGUAAGCUCAAGGCCAUCCUCAGGA